RNAcentral lists this ribosomal RNA (253 nucleotides) under uncultured bacterium. RNAcentral describes it as "partial 16S ribosomal RNA". It matches the Rfam family "Bacterial small subunit ribosomal RNA", at positions 524 to 776 of the family's 1533-position model. The record is from RNAcentral.
GACAGAGGGUGCAAACGUUUGCUCGGAAUCACUGGGCGUAAAGGGCGUGUAGGCGGGACGGUAAGUCGGGCGUGAAAUCCCUAGGCUCAACCUAGGAACUGCACUCGAAACUACCAUUCUUGAGUGUCGGAGAGGAAAGCGGAAUUCCUGGUGUAGAGGUGAAAUUCGUAGAUAUCAGGAGGAACACCAGUGGCGAAGGCGGCUUCUGGACGAUACUGACGCUGAGACGCGAAAGCGUGGGGGAGCAAACAGG